GCUGGCGUGAUGGAAUUGGCAGACAAUCGGAUCUUAAAAAUCCGUGGUGGUUACCGUGCGAGUUCGAUCCUCGCCGCCAGCACCA
This 85-nucleotide transfer RNA is filed under the name Caudoviricetes sp. Its description in RNAcentral is "tRNA-Leu". It matches the Rfam family "tRNA". Rfam says of the family: Transfer RNA (tRNA) molecules are approximately 80 nucleotides in length. Their secondary structure includes four short double-helical elements and three loops (D, anti-codon, and T loops). Lineage: Duplodnaviria; Heunggongvirae; Uroviricota; Caudoviricetes. The record is from RNAcentral.